Molecule: ribosomal RNA, 493 nt
Filed under: uncultured bacterium
Lineage: Bacteria
Description: partial 16S ribosomal RNA
Rfam family: Bacterial small subunit ribosomal RNA
Source: RNAcentral
GACGAACGCUGGCGGCGCGCUUAACACAUGCAAGUCGAACGGAAAGGCCUGCUUUCCCUUGUGGAUUGCGGGUACUCGAGUGGCGAACGGGUGAGUAACACGUGAGUGAUCUGCCCCCAACUUGGGUAUAAGCCUGGGAAACUGGGUCUAAUUCCCGAUAGGACUGCAGGGUGGUGCCUGUGGUGGAAAACGAUUUUCUAGUGGUUGGGGAUGAGCUCGCGGCCUAUCAGCUUGUUGGUGGGGUAAUGGCCUACCAAGGCGGCGACGGGUAGCCGGCCUGGGAGGGUGGACGGCCACAUUGGGACGGAGAUACGGCCCAGACUCCUACGGGAGGCAGCAGUGGGGAAUAUUGCACAAUGGGCGGAAGCCUGAUGCAGCGACGCCGCGUGGGGGAUGACGGCCUUCGGGUUGUAAACUCCUUUCGACCGCGAGGAAGCCACCUGGUGGGAAGGGUGGUGACGGUAGUGGUAGAAGAAGCACCGGCUAACUACGG